Long non-coding RNA from Oncorhynchus tshawytscha (Chinook salmon), 3457 nucleotides. NCBI's taxonomy places the organism in Eukaryota, Metazoa, Chordata, Actinopteri, Salmoniformes, Salmonidae. The record is from Ensembl.
GUUUCAGAUGAGUUUACCUGUAAUUCAGGUACAUUUCCGCCUCAUGCGCGUUCUGCCACAGUCAAAACAACUAGGAACUCCGAGAUCCGACCUCAAGACCAUUGACGUCAUGAUUUGACAUCGUUUUUUCCGGGUUCCCAGUUGUUUUGAAAACACAAUUGAUACAGGAAAAUGACCAGGGAAAAGUUUGAAGAACAACCCAACCUAAACCAAAAGAACACUAACACUCACCUUUUUAAAGAAUGACCAAUAUCUCCAGCAGUAGGUAAAUCCAAGUUUGAGCAAUGGUCGGCUUCCGCACCUGAAAUAUUGGAUUAGUGAUGUUUUCAGAGCUGCGAGGUCAAACCCCGCCUCUGGAGCACUGUAUUUACUGCAACCGACUGUGCUGUACUCUACUGAGACACGUUUGCAUAGGAAGCAAUCCCAACUGCCUGCGAGUGAAGGGAGGAGUUUCACGGUACUUUUCACCGUCAAUCAAGCAGAAGAUUCCUGCAACAAAAGAGAAUCAUGAAUGGAAAAAGGCAGUUGAAAGGUGUGAAGUUAGAAUGAGUGUUGAGGGGGAGCAGGCAUAGUAUCUGAAAAUGUAUCGUAUUGUCAAAUACAAAAUACACAAAAAUACAAGAGCCCUCUUGAAGAGGGAAUCAAGAAAUCUUCACAUCCAAAUUGGGGUACACACACACACACACACACAAAAUCAAUGUUUCAUAUGUGUGUAUUUACCAACCAUCCCUCUCUCUCACACACACAAUGUUGACAUAACAAUGUUUUCUAAAGUUAUUGUGAUCAUCUCUCUUUCUUCUACCUCUCCCUCUCACACACACACACACACACACACAGAUAGAAUACACACACAUUUACUGUCAUUAACUAAACCUAUAUCAAAAAGCUAGCUAGCUACAACAAAUGGCUUCAACAGCUAAAUAUAUAUACAGUUGAAGUCAGAAGUUUACAUACACCUUAGCCAAAUACAUUUUAACUCCGUUUUUCACAAUUCCUGACAUUUAAUCAGAGUACAAAUUCCCUGUCUUAGGUUAGUUAGGAUCACUACUUUAUUUAAAAAAUGUGAAAUAUCAGAAUAAUAGGAGAGAGAAUGAUUUAUUUCAGCUUUUAUUUAUUUCAUCACAUUCCCAGUGGGUCAGAAGUUUACAUACACUCAAUUAGUAUUUGUUAGCAUUGCCUUUACAUUGUUUAACUCUGGUCAAAUGUUUCGGGUAGCCUUCCACAAGCUUCCCACAAUAAGUUGGGUGAAUUUUGGCCCAUUCCUCCUGACAGAGCUGAUAUAACUGAGUCAGGUUUGUAGGCCUCCUUGCUCGCACACGCUUUUUCAGUUCUGCCCACACAUUUUCUAUAGGAUUGAGGUCAGGGCUUUGUGAUGGCCACUCCAAUACAUUGACUUUGUUGUCCUUAAGUCACUUUGCCACAACUUUGGAAGUAUGCUUGGGGUCAUUUGCGACCAAGCUUUAACUUUCUGACUGAUGUCUUGAGAUGUUGCUUCAAUAUAUCCACAUAAUUUUACUUCCUCAUGAUGCCACCUAUUCUGUGAAGUGCACUAGUCCCUCCUGCAGCAAAGCACCCCCACAACAUGAUGCUGCCACCCCCAUGCUUCACGGUUGGGAUGGUGUUCUUUGGCUUGCAAGCAUGACCCUUUCCCUCCAAACAUAACGAUGGUCAUUAUGGCCAAACAGUUCUAUUUUUGUUUCAUCAGACCAGAGGACAUUUCUCCAACAAGUACGAUCUUUGUCCCCAUGUGCAGUUGCAAACUGUAGUCUGGCUUUUUUAUGGCGGUUUUGGAGCAGUGGCUUCUUCCUUGCUGAGCAGCCUUUCAGGUUAUGUCGAUAUAUAGGACUCGUUUUACUGUGGAUAUAGAUACUUUUGUACCUGUUUCCUCCAGCUUCUUCACAAGGUCCUUUUCUGCGGUUCUGGUAUUGCACCAAAGUACAUUCAUCUCUCGGAGACAGAACGUGUCUCCUUCCUGAGCGGUAUGACGGCUGUGUGGUCCCAUGGUGUUUAUACUUGCGUACUAUUGUUUGUGCAGAUGAAUGUGGUACUUUCAGGUGUUUGGAAAUUGCUCCCAUAGAUGAACCAGGCUUGUGGGGGUCUACAUUUUUUUUUCUGAGGUCGAGUUUUAAUGACUCCAACCUAAGUGUAUGUAAACUUCUGAUUUCAACUGUAUAUAUAUGUUUUUCCUUUCGUGAAUUAACUCACACUUUUUCCCCCUUACUAGCUCUGACUUUGUUGAUAGCUACUUUAUUGAGGACAAUUGUGACUGUGAUAUGGUGUUGUCCCACCUAGCUAUCGUAAGAUGAAUGCACUAACUGUAAGUCAGUCUGGAUAAGAGUGUCUGCUAAAUGACUCAAAUGUAGUGCCGAGUCUCAAACGGAAUAGGCCUGAGCACACCGUGUUCAUUGGGUACCAUAUGCCUUGAGACCCUUACCCACUUUGGUGCACUCUGCCAGCUGUUGUUUGCCAACUGUGCUAAACUGAGUCAUGCAAACCCUGCUGAAAAAAACCACUCACAUUUUAAUCAUUAUAAUGGUUCUAUAGUGUCUUACAUCCACUGGGUGCAUGGCCCACAAACACUAUGCACAUUUUUUAUGUAGGCUGGUGUCUAUUAAUUGGUGUCAUGAAAAAAUGUCUUAAUCUGGUUGUGAUCUGGUUAUAAGGCGUCUCGACCAAAUUCUAACCAGAAAAAUAUGUCUUCAUCACAUUGUAUGCCCACUGGGAUAUGCCUUUACUAAUGUGGUUUCAAGUCGGUUACCAUACUGGUUUCAGGUGUGGAAAAGAGUCAUAUGCAUUUUUAUAUUAUUUAUACAGGCUGAUAGCCUACUGCUUAUAAGCUACACACAGCCUACGGACGCCAGCAAUGUGGCAACUAUUAGGCCUACAACACUGCUUGACGAUUAUGAAGAACUGAAAUCAGUUGUACAACAAUGUGAUAUAGGACUCCUGUUACCCAAACACCAUCUGCCCAAUCCUGUUAUAUAAAGGAAGCAAUGGAAUACAAUUAAAGCAUUUUUUUUGAGUGCAAGUAUUGUGCAUUCUAUUAUUGUAUUAUAUUCUUUAGUAUAGGUUACUUUGCCACACUUCUGUAUUUUACUAGUAGCCUUUAACAGUGCUUGUUCACACUAUGCAGAUGUGUCUGUGUCACGUCCUGACCUUAGUUCCUUUUUUAUGUCUCUAUUUUAGUUUGGUCAGGGCGUGAGUUGGGGUGGGCAUUCUAUGUGUUAUAGUUCUAUGUUUGGCCUGGUAUGGUUCCCAAUCAGAGGCUGCUGUCAAUCGUUGUCUCUGAUUGAGAACCAUACUUAGGCAGCCUGUUUUCCCACUAUGGUUUGUGGGUAGUUGUUUUCUGUGUCUGUGUUUCACCGUACAGAACUGUUUCCAUUUUCAUUGGUUCACUUUGGUUAUUUUGUAUUCAGUGUUCAGUUAUAUUUCAUUAAAAUGGACACUUACGAUGCUG